GUUCUACAUGGGGAGUUUGGGAUGUUUCCCCCCCCCCCGGUUACUGUCUGUCUGGUCCCUGACAGUGCCGAUCUGAGGGCAGAAGGACACACAGCCGGGCGCCAUGCCUCGUGCCAGCCUUAAGAGCAAUAUGGGACAAGUUGGUGCUUGCAGCGAUGCACGCUGGGACAUACCCAACAUGCUUCAAAGGACUGAGCGCAUUGCACGGACCAGACGUGGCUCAGGUUCUGCUCUUCUAACCGUGACUUACCAGGGCAGCUGAAGGGCACUUUUACUGAUCCUCAGUGGAAAUAUUGGUGAAGCCAGCUGGGUGCCCUGCACACCACGGUCAUUUCGGCACGGACACCUGGGAGCCGCAGAGUCUUUUACAGCCACGUCGUGCUGGCAGCGCGUGGCAGAGGCCGCCGGAGCAGCUCGGCUCUGCCGUGGUGCCCCAGCCUGGUGCAGCCGCGGACGGACCACGCGUAUCCCACGUCUGGGGCGGUACCCAGCAGGUUUGGGUACUUACCCAGGACAGCACCAGUGCAUUUCCAGGCUCGGUUUCCAGAGCCAUCAGCAUCCAUCCUGUUGGACAGACUGCCAGGAUUUCGGCGGGCAGCGCAUACCUGGCAUCUCGUGGUCUGUUACGGAUUUGGCUAUUUAUAUCGCUGCUUUCGCGGGAGCUGAACUCAGCAGUGACUCCUUAUGUCUGACCCCAGAGAGUUACUCAUCAAAGCACGUUAUACACUUACAAAUUAAACAAAUGCUAUUUUAAAGCCCAGUCUGGCAAACACUCAGCAGCCAGUUUGGUACUUAUCACUAGGAUUAUUCGAAGUGCCUUCAAGAUCACUUCCUG
RNAcentral lists this long non-coding RNA (835 nucleotides) under Athene cunicularia (burrowing owl). Its description in RNAcentral is "lncRNA (ENSACUG00000005465.1)". The record is from RNAcentral. Lineage: Eukaryota; Metazoa; Chordata; Aves; Strigiformes; Strigidae.